Molecule: ribosomal RNA, 195 nt
Filed under: uncultured bacterium
Lineage: Bacteria
Description: partial 16S ribosomal RNA
Rfam family: Bacterial small subunit ribosomal RNA
Source: RNAcentral
CCUACGGGAGGCAGCAGUGGGGAAUAUUGCGCAAUGGGGGAAACCCUGACGCAGCGACGCCGCGUGAGCGAAGAAGGCCUUAGGGUUGUAAAGCUCUGUUUUCAGGAAAGAAUGUCGUGGGUAAUAAUACGACCUGCGAAUGACGGUACCUGAAGAGGAAGCCCCGGCUAACUACGUGCCAGCAGCCGCGGUAAU